RNAcentral lists this long non-coding RNA (284 nucleotides) under Gossypium barbadense (sea-island cotton). RNAcentral's name for it is "long non-coding RNA (GBAR_LNC018407)". Lineage: Eukaryota; Viridiplantae; Streptophyta; Magnoliopsida; Malvales; Malvaceae. The record is from RNAcentral.
GGCGCCACAAUUGAGCAGGAAAAUUCUCUAAUCAAACCAGCAAAGUCGGUUAACCAGCAGGAGUAGCAGCUUGAAGAUUUCAGCUAAGCGGAAGGAAGGAAGCUCGACGUUUUCUUUUCAAAAAUUCAGUUUGUAAUUCAUGUUGUCUCCAAUUGACUUUGGUUUUGUUUUAUUUGCUAUGAGUGGCUGAAUAAUUAAGCUUAGUUAGACACUUAUGAAACCUAGCACAAGGAAUUUGAAGGUUAUUUAAUUUAAAUUCGGAUUUGGCAUUCUUGAGUUGCUAA